RNAcentral lists this ribosomal RNA (465 nucleotides) under uncultured bacterium. RNAcentral's name for it is "partial 16S ribosomal RNA". It matches the Rfam family "Bacterial small subunit ribosomal RNA", at positions 339 to 795 of the family's 1533-position model. The record is from RNAcentral.
CUACGGGGGGCUGCAGUGGGGAAUAUUGGACAAUGGGGGAAACCCUGAUCCAGCAAUGCCGCGUGUGUGAAGAAGGCCUGCGGGUUGUAAAGCACUUUCGGUUGGGAGGACUGCUUCUAGCACUAAUAUUGUUGGAAGUUGACGUUACCUUCAGAAGAAGCACCGGCUAACUCCGUGCCAGCAGCCGCGGUAAUACGGAGGGUGCAGGCGUUAAUCGGAAUUACUGGGCGUAAAGCGCGCGUAGGCGGCUAGAUCAGUCGGGUGUGAAAGCCCCGGGCUUAAACUGGGAACUGCAUCCGAUACUGUCUAGCUUGAGUACAGGAGAGGAGAGUGGAAUUCCACAUGUAGCGGUGAAAUGCGUAGAUAUGUGGAGGAACACCAAUGGCGAAGGCAGCUCUCUGGCCUGAUACUGACGCUGAGGUGCGAAAGCGUGGGGAGCAAACAGGAUUAGAUACCCGCGUAGUC